AGAGUUUGAUCCUGGCUCAGAAUCAACGCUGGCGGCGUGCCUAACACAUGCAAGUCGAACGCGAAAGCCCCGCAAGGGGUUAGUAGAGUGGCAAACGGGUGAGUAACACGUGGGUGACCUGCCUGAGAGUGGGGGAUAACGACCCGAAAGGGUCGCUAAUACCGCAUAACAUCCUGCGUUUGGAGACGCGGAGAUCAAAGCCGGGGACCGCAAGACCUGGCGCUUACAGAGGGGCCCGCGGCCGAUUAGCUAGUUGGUAGGGUAACGGCCUACCAAGGCAACGAUCGGUAUCCGGCCUGAGAGGGCGGACGGACACACUGGGACUGAGACACGGCCCAGACUCCUACGGGAGGCAGCAGUGGGGAAUUGUUCGCAAUGGGCGCAAGCCUGACGACGCAACGCCGCGUGGAGGAUGAAGAUCUUCGGGUCGUAAACUCCUUUCGAUCGGGAAGAACGUUUUCCGGGUGAAUAAUCCGGAGAAGUGACGGUACCGAGAGAAGAAGCCCCGGCUAACUCUGUGCCAGCAGCCGCGGUAAUACAGGGGGGGCAAGCGUUGUUCGGAAUUACUGGGCGUAAAGGGCCAGUAGGCGGCCGGCUAAGUCCGACGUGAAAUCCCCAAGCUUAACUUGGGAACUGCGUCGGAUACUGGCUGGCUUGAAUUCGGGAGAGGGAUGCAGAAUUCCAGGUGUAGCGGUGAAAUGCGUAGAUAUCUGGAGGAAUACCGGUGGCGAAGGCGGCGUCCUGGACCGACAUUGACGCUGAACGGCGAAAGCUAGGGGAGCAAACGGGAUUAGAUACCCCGGUAGUCCUAGCCCUAAACGAUGAAUGCUUGGUGUGGCGGGUAUCGAUCCCUGCCGUGCCGAAGCUAACGCAUUAAGCAUUCCGCCUGGGGAGUACGGUCGCAAGGCUGAAACUCAAAGGAUUGACGGGGGCCCGCACAAGCGGUGGGAGCAUGGUGGUUCAAUUCGACGC
This 972-nucleotide ribosomal RNA is filed under the name uncultured bacterium. RNAcentral describes it as "bacterial SSU rRNA". It matches the Rfam family "Bacterial small subunit ribosomal RNA", at positions 8 to 957 of the family's 1533-position model. The record is from RNAcentral.